GUCGAACGAGUUCUCGUUGAUGAUCGGUGCUUGCACUGAGAUUCAACAUGGAACGAGUGGCGGACGGGUGAGUAACACGUGGGUAACCUGCCCUUAAGUGGGGGAUAACAUUUGGAAACAGAUGCUAAUACCGCAUAGAUCCAAGAACCGCAUGGUUCUUGGCUGAAAGAUGGCGUAAGCUAUCGCUUUUGGAUGGACCCGCGGCGUAUUAGCUAGUUGGUGAGGUAAUGGCUCACCAAGGCGAUGAUACGUAGCCGAACUGAGAGGUUGAUCGGCCACAUUGGGACUGAGACACGGCCCAAACUCCUACGGGAGGCAGCAGUAGGGAAUCUUCCACAAUGGACGCAAGUCUGAUGGAGCAACGCCGCGUGAGUGAAGAAGGCUUUCGGGUCGUAAAACUCUGUUGUUGGAGAAGAAUGGUCGGCAGAGUAACUGUUGUCGGCGUGACGGUAUCCAACCAGAAAGCCACGGCUAACUACGUGCCAGCAGCCGCGGUAAUACGUAGGUGGCAAGCGUUAUCCGGAUUUAUUGGGCGUAAAGCGAGCGCAGGCGGUUUUUUAAGUCUGAUGUGAAAGCCCUCGGCUUAACCGAGGAAGCGCAUCGGAAACUGGGAAACUUGAGUGCAGAAGAGGACAGUGGAACUCCAUGUGUAGCGGUGAAAUGCGUAGAUAUAUGGAAGAACACCAGUGGCGAAGGCGGCUGUCUGGUCUGUAACUGACGCUGAGGCUCGAAAGCAUGGGUAGCGAACAGGAUUAGAUACCCUGGUAGUCCAUGCCGUAAACGAUGAAUGCU
RNAcentral lists this ribosomal RNA (792 nucleotides) under uncultured bacterium. RNAcentral describes it as "bacterial SSU rRNA". It matches the Rfam family "Bacterial small subunit ribosomal RNA", at positions 61 to 817 of the family's 1533-position model. The record is from RNAcentral.